GGGCUUCGCUUUCCUUCUCCAAGAAAGGGGUGUGCGAAUGCUGAUGUCCAUAAAGAUUCUGGUUAAGUCCGGUGGGGCACACAGUUAGGGCUUAAUGAACAGGAGCUGCCUGGCAGAGGACCGCAGUUAAUCGGGGUUCCGCACCGCUUUGGUGACCUGGAACUUGGUAAGUGAGCCUGGGAAGGGCCAGGGCUGGGGGAGGG
Molecule: long non-coding RNA, 203 nt
Filed under: Mustela putorius furo (domestic ferret)
Lineage: Eukaryota; Metazoa; Chordata; Mammalia; Carnivora; Mustelidae
Description: lncRNA (ENSMPUG00000025998.1)
Source: RNAcentral